This 216-nucleotide ribosomal RNA is filed under the name Glomeromycotina sp. Its description in RNAcentral is "partial small subunit ribosomal RNA". The stretch from base 87 to 216 matches the Rfam family "Eukaryotic small subunit ribosomal RNA", at positions 733 to 864 of the family's 1831-position model. Lineage: Eukaryota; Fungi; Glomeromycota. The record is from RNAcentral.
GGGUCAGUAGGUUGGUCGUGCCACCGGUACGUACUGGUCCCACUGAUUCCUCCUUCCUGAAGAACCGUAAUGCCAUUAAUUCGGUGUUGCGGGGAAGCAGGACUGUUACUUUGAAAAAAUUAGAGUGUUUAAAGCAAGCUAACGCUUGAAUACAUUAGCAUGGAAUAAUGAAAUAGGACGAUCGAUCCUAUUUUGUUGGUUUCUAGGAUUGACGUA